Non-coding RNA from Vicia faba (fava bean), 336 nucleotides. The record is from the annotation of a GenBank genome assembly. Lineage: Eukaryota; Viridiplantae; Streptophyta; Magnoliopsida; Fabales; Fabaceae.
GAAGUGGUAUCUUGUCAUUCAAGGACGUUGGUUUUGAAGUUCAAAUCAAACAGGCGCCGAAGAGUAAACACGACUGAGGGUGACUUUGAGUUGUUGAAAAUGUUUUCGGUAGUUCAAGUGGAAAGCCUUCCUAGAUUAUUAACUUGUUUCUGCUUUUGUAGCUUUUCUUAUUUAUCAAAACAUUGUUUGCGUGUAAGAACUUGUUUGCGUCUGGAUGAUUAUUUUAAUACAAUGAGUAUGUUUGUCUUGAAGAAAUUCAUUUGUUUCACUCAUAUUUGUUUUCAAAUUUUAAAUUUCUUUUUGCAUUAUGAUGCCAACUUGCUGGCCUUUCUUUUG